RNAcentral lists this transfer RNA (61 nucleotides) under Ampullaceana lagotis. RNAcentral describes it as "tRNA-Trp". The record is from RNAcentral. Lineage: Eukaryota; Metazoa; Mollusca; Gastropoda; Lymnaeidae.
UGAGUUGUAAGUUAAUUAAACUAUUGGCUUUCAAUUCCGAAAAUGAUUGUUUCCAACUUUA